AUGCUAUCCAAAAGUGGUUUCACAUGGGAUGGAAGUCGAAAGAUGAUUCAGUGCGAGAAGGCACAAUAUGAAGCUCAUUGUCAGAUUCACAAGGAGGCUAAGGGAUUGUAUGGUGUAUCAUUUCCAUACUUUGAACAAUUGGUUGCUAUCUAUGGCAAAGAUAUUGUAACAGGAGAAAGUGUAGAAGGCUUUGGAGAGGCAGUGGGAAACUUGGAGAAGGAAAUUGCUAUGGAGGAAGAAGAAAAUGAGGAAGAGGGCAUUAUCUCAACAGGAACAGCUCGACGGUCCAUUGACACUUGCUCUAUUGAUACAACUAGUUUGAAGAGGCAGAAAAAGGAGCCAAGGCCAAAGAGGGCAACGGCACCAAGCGAUCCAUUUGCAGCCAUACUUCAAGAUGUUAACAGCCAGCUGAACAACGUGACACAACAUGUGGGUGCAAUGACAACAUCAUUUACAUCAGCAAUGGCGCGACAAGCAGCACAAGAAGACCCUCAACAGAAAUCAAGAGAAAAUGCAAUUAGUGAAUUGUCUAGGCUUGCAUUUACUGGGAGCGAGAUUGUUGAAGCUGCAACUAUAUUCGCUAAAGCUCCAGAGCACAUGAACAUGAUGCUUGUGCUUCCAGGCAUUUUGAGGAGGGACUUCGUCCUGAAAAUGCUGUCUGUUUUUGUUUUCCCCGACUGUUGA
RNAcentral lists this ribosomal RNA (684 nucleotides) under Triticum aestivum (bread wheat). RNAcentral's name for it is "partial small subunit ribosomal RNA". The record is from RNAcentral. Lineage: Eukaryota; Viridiplantae; Streptophyta; Magnoliopsida; Poales; Poaceae.